CGUGUAGGCGGCAGUGCAAGUCCGGUGUGAAAUGCCCCGGCUUAACCGGGGAGACGCGCUGGAAACUGUGCUGCUUGAGUUUAGGAGGGGGAGCUGGAAUUCCUGGUGUAGGGGUGAAAUCUGUAGAGAUCAGGAAGAACACCGGUGGCGAAGGCGAGCUCCUGGCCAUAGACUGACGCUGAGGCGCGAAAGCGUGGGGAGCGAACA
Molecule: ribosomal RNA, 207 nt
Filed under: uncultured bacterium
Lineage: Bacteria
Description: partial 16S ribosomal RNA
Rfam family: Bacterial small subunit ribosomal RNA
Source: RNAcentral